AGAGUUUGAUCCUGGCUCAGAUUCUUUGCUGGCGGCAGGCCUAACACAUGCAAGUCGAGCGGAUGAGUGGAGCUUGCUCCAUGAUUCAGCGGCGGACGGGUGAGUAAUGCCUAGGAAUCUGCCUGGUAGUGGGGGACAACGUUUCGAAAGGAACGCUAAUACCGCAUACGUCCUACGGGAGAAAGCAGGGGACCUUCGGGCCUUGCGCUAUCAGAUGAGCCUAGGUCGGAUUAGCUAGUAGGUGAGGUAAUGGCUCACCUAGGCGACGAUCCGUAACUGGUCUGAGAGGAUGAUCAGUCACACUGGAACUGAGACACGGUCCAGACUCCUACGGGAGGCAGCAGUGGGGAAUAUUGGACAAUGGGCGAAAGCCUGAUCCAGCCAUGCCGCGUGUGUGAAGAAGGUCUUCGGAUUGUAAAGCACUUUAAGUUGGGAGGAAGGGCAGUAAGUUAAUACCUUGCUGUUUUGACGUUACCAACAGAAUAAGCACCGGCUAACUUCGUGCCAGCAGCCGCGGUAAUACGAAGGGUGCAAGCGUUAAUCGGAAUUACUGGGCGUAAAGCGCGCGUAGGUGGUUCAGCAAGUUGGAGGUGAAAUCCCCGGGCUCAACCUGGGAACUGCCUCCAAAACUACUGAGCUAGAGUACGGUAGAGGGUAGUGGAAUUUCCUGUGUAGCGGUGAAAUGCGUAGAUAUAGGAAGGAACACCAGUGGCGAAGGCGGCUACCUGGACUGAUACUGACACUGAGGUGCGAAAGCGUGGGGAGCAAACA
RNAcentral lists this ribosomal RNA (771 nucleotides) under uncultured bacterium. RNAcentral describes it as "bacterial SSU rRNA". It matches the Rfam family "Bacterial small subunit ribosomal RNA", at positions 8 to 774 of the family's 1533-position model. The record is from RNAcentral.